GCGACGGGGCUCCCAGCAGGCUUUGCUGCGAGUUUGCGGAGCCCCCUGGCCCCCGGAGGGAGAGCUGACUCUCUCUUUUCAUCAGCAGCCCCCUUCCAAUAAAACAUAAUGGCGCUGAGGCUGCGGGGGAAAGUCAUUCAGCCACACAAAGCUGUCACAUGAACGGGACGAAGCACAACGGGCUCAGUCAUUCUGCUGCUGCCGCUCGGCUACUGGGACGGAUGAGUGGGCUAUACUGAACUGGCCAGACGCGCAGCAUGAUCCACAGAGAAGACACCGCUCUCAAUGUGCUGAGCUGCCACUGAGGGACAGUGGGCAGGAAGGCAGGCACCCGCUGUGCUCAACUGUACAGCCAGGGUUCAAGCUGAAAAAUCUGGUUUUGUGCUGAUUUUUCAUUUCACUUUCCCGUUUUCCCCCCAGAGUCGCCACCAAUUCCAUAUAUGUGUCUAUUAGAGCUCUUGUCAUUGUAAACCCCCUCCCAAAGGAUUGUUUAUUUUGUGACCCAAACACACCAGCCAUGUCCUAUUGCUGCCAUUUUUCCACACAUCAACAUACUGCAAGAUCAAAAUCGAUGCAGAAGAUAGAUCGUCUUUUUUUAUUCCUUGCAGGCCCAUGUCUGUCACACUCCACAUUUCCAGUGUGCAACUCAGUCUUCUAGCACAGGUCAAUAUAACUGAUUAUAUCAUCAGGGGUUAUUUUCUCAGACUGACAAGAGUUUCGAAUUAGUGGAGUUCCCCAUCAAUGGACAUGCAUCAUCACAUACUUAUGUUCAAAACAAUCUGCUUAGCCAGAAAAUACAAAAGGAGAAAGCUAGAAACUUUAAAAUCCAUUUCCAAACACUUUUAAUAUCUAUCAAGCAAAAGUGCAAAACAUUGUAAAUUAGGUUUCUUUAACCAUUUACACCCUGGACAUACAGCAUGCAUGAGCAGAUCAUGACAGCUUCCUCGCUGCAGUGGCUCACACGCCUGUGCUGCUGCUAACCCUGUUCCUACAUCGAGUUUGCCUUUGAUAAAUACAAAAAAAGCCUUGUUAACAAAUGAAUGCAUUCUGUGCACAGAAACCCAAUCUGAAACAGACACAGGAGGUGUUGAGUUAAAAAAACUAUUUCUAUAUUUUUGUCUGUGACACGUACAGAUACACUGUAGUGAAAGGUGUUUAUGUUGCUGUAUAACAUUGAUAUGGCUGAACACAUGGUUUUCACUGUCACUACUUCACUUUCUUGCUGGGGACCUUGUAGACCUCUGCUUUCGUGAAGCGUUGCUGCUGCCUUGCAGCUCAUGUGAGCAGUGAUGCUGCUCUUACCUGUUGACGUGGGCACUAAAGUGAAAAUCAAGAAGUUCCGCUGCAGCAGCAGCAGGCAGUGCAGCCGGAGCUUUGCACGUCUUGGGUUCUACCACCAUUUUUCACCAUUUCAGGCAAUUUCUAGACUAAAUAAUAAAUCUAUUAAUUAAAAAAAAAAUCAUUGAUGUAUGUAUUAUAUUAAUGUAAAUCGUCAGUUCCACUCCCUACUUAUAAGAGAUUUCCAAAGGAGUAUUCUUUUAAAGCUAAAAAUCUCACACUCCCUCCUCCUCUCAUUAACUUUCCUCCUGUCCUUUCCUUGCUUCCUCCAAGUUAUAUCCUGGUACAAGACAAGUGGCAGCGCAAGAAGAGAGGAAGCCCCGCUGAACAGGUCUGCAGAAGUCAGGGACAUGCUCCCUCACUGGCUUCCCACCUUUGAACACAGCCACUUACAAUCUUUGGGGGCCCAGGCAAAGACAGAGGCUCCCCUGCUGGGAAAUGAACCCAAGUCAGCGGUGGUGGGCGACUGCUUUACCCCUGCGCCGCUCACACGAGCCUUGCUUCGUUCUGUUUAACAUAAAGCUUGCCGUCAGCCACCCACUUCUGGUUCAUUUCCAGGGCUAGUCUCUGAAGGGUAAGUAGGGCACUUUGCCAUUUCAAUAAUAGCUGCAUUUGCAAAGCUUACAGCUGCAGGCUACAGCCUUUACAUGGAUUUAGAGCAACCUUACCGACUGUGGGGUAGUUGAGUAGUUAUAAUCUAUUCAGCUGCCCGUGUUUUUUUCUGAAACAUUGUCAUGGAGUUCAUGGUUAAGAUCUGACAUGCUAGAGUCGUUUCAUCCCCAUUCCCAUGAGCCCUGGCGGAUGUGAUUUGACUGACAGGUCAGGACUGCCAGUGGGCUGUGAGCCCUCACUGAGAGGCUGACUGACAGACACUGCUGAGAAGUGGAUUAAAAUGGACAAUUAUCCUCACAGCACACCAGGCCUCCUGUACUCUAUCUGCGGCGGCUUUUGCGUCUACACUACACCAGAGAGGGAUUUGCCAGCGGCCACCCUGAACAGCACUGUGUUAGGGAAACUCCUGAAUGACUGACACGGAGAGGGUGAUGCAGAGAGAAUCUUCUAUGAGUGUGUGUAAUUUUACAUCAGUGAUACAUCGUCACAUGGUGGUCCCUUUUCUGGAACAUCAACUUGGAAACUGUUUAUGGAUAAAAUAAAUUCUCGGGAAUUUC
Molecule: long non-coding RNA, 2507 nt
Organism: Dicentrarchus labrax (European seabass)
Lineage: Eukaryota; Metazoa; Chordata; Actinopteri; Moronidae
Exons: 2
Source: RefSeq, a predicted model, not a curated record